UCACUUCCAUACCCUGCUGUAUUCCAUCUACUUUGAGGAGUUUUUUUUCUUUUUCUUUUCUCAAUUCCAGCUCACAUGUUUAAAAAAAAAAUCUAUACCAUGCUUAGAGUUUUGUAUGUGUCCUCUAGUUCCAUCCAUUUUCCUGAAGCUGACAUGGUUCAUUCUUUAUGGCUAGGUAAGACUCUUUUACACAUCUGGUAUAUUUACCAUUCACCUGUAUGGGUACCUACACUGAUUCCAUAGGCUGGCUAGUGUGCCACACUGAAUGUGGAUGUGCAGGUAGUGUUUAUAUGUGCUGACUUUUUCCUUUGGAUAUAAGACUGGGAGUGGUACAGGAUGCUUCCCUACUGAUUUUCCUCAUCCUUGUCAACAUUUGUUAUUGUUGUUAUUAUUGGUAAUAGCCAUUUUUACUAGGGCAAGGUAGAAUCUCAACUUUUUAAAUUUUUGAUUUAUUUUUUGGAGUUUUUUUGUUUUGUUUUUAAAGAUUUAUUCAUAUUUUAUGUGUCUGAGUGCUUUGCCUGUGUGUGUUCUUGUAUACCACAUGUAUGCCUGAUUCCUUCAGAGACCAAAGAGAGUAUUAGACGCCCUGGAGCUGGAGGGAUAGACAGUUGUUCGAUGCCAUUCAGGUGCUGGGAACCAAACCCCCAUCCUUGCUGCCCUUAACUGCUGAGCCAUCUUUCCAUCCUCUGGUUUACUUACUGUUGUUGUCUGGGAUGGUAUUGUUGUUUGAAACAGAAUUUCAUGUAGUCCAGGCUGGCCUCAAACCAGCUAUUUGUCUGAGGCUGACCUUGAACUCUUGAUCUUCCUGCCUUCACCUCCCAAGUAGUGGGAGGUUUAUGUCCCCAUGCCCAGCACACAGAGUACGUUUCGUACACACUUGCCUAAUGACUAAAGAUAGUGAACAUUUUUCAUGGACUUAGUUUGUACUUAGCCUUUGGGAAGCAUUUGUCAUGUCAUUGACCUGUUUGUUGAUCGGCUUACUUGUUUUUGUGUUUGGUUUUUGGAUGGUUGGUUUCUUAGUUCUUCAUGUAUUCUAAAGAUGGAUUCUGUUAGGUGAAUAGCUGGCAAAGAUUUUCUCCAUUCUGUAAGCCAUCUCCAUCACUCUGUUGACGCCUUUGCUCUGUAGACACUCAUUUUAUUGUAGUUCUGUGUGUCAGUGGUUCUGUUUUCUAAAAUGUCUACUCUAAGAAAAUCUUCCCAGCUAGGUGCAGUGGCAUACUUCUAAAAGCCAGAAUUUCAGAGUCUGAGGCAGGGGGAUUUGAAAGUUUGAAGCUAGUUUAGGCUCCAUAUGGAAACUGUUUC
RNAcentral lists this long non-coding RNA (1302 nucleotides) under Mus musculus (house mouse). RNAcentral describes it as "long non-coding RNA chr7:111031491-111032793". The record is from RNAcentral. Lineage: Eukaryota; Metazoa; Chordata; Mammalia; Rodentia; Muridae.